UACGGAAGGCAGCAGUGGGGAAUAUUGCACAAUGGGCGAAAGCCUGAUGCAGCUAUGCCGCGUGUAUGAAGAAGGCCUUAGGGUUGUAAAGUACUUUCAUCGGGGAGGAAAACAAAACUAAUAAUUUUAUUUCUUGACGUUACCCGAAAAAGAAGCACCGGCUAACUCCGUGCCAGCAGCCGCGGUAAUACGGAGGGUGCUAGCGUUAAUCAGAAUUACUGGGCGUAAAAGAGCACGUAGGUGGUUUUUUUAAGUCAGAUGUGAAAUCCCUGGGCUUAACCUAGGAACUGCAUUUUGAAACUGAAAUACUAGAGUAUCGUAGAGGGAGGUAGAAUUCUAGGUGUAGCGGUGAAAUGCGUAGAUAUCUGGAGGAAUACCUGUGGCGAAAGCGGCCUCCUAAACGAAUACUGACACUGAGGUGCGAAAAGCGUGGGGAGCAAAACAGGGAUUAGAUACC
This 457-nucleotide ribosomal RNA is filed under the name uncultured bacterium. Its description in RNAcentral is "bacterial SSU rRNA". It matches the Rfam family "Bacterial small subunit ribosomal RNA", at positions 340 to 786 of the family's 1533-position model. The record is from RNAcentral.